This 561-nucleotide long non-coding RNA is filed under the name Mytilus galloprovincialis (Mediterranean mussel). Lineage: Eukaryota; Metazoa; Mollusca; Bivalvia; Mytilida; Mytilidae. The record is from RNAcentral.
AUGUUGCAGUCCAAAUUCUGUUAGGCAUUUCAGGAGGGAUGGGGAUAAUUUUUUUUUACAGGUUAGAACUAUUCCCUUGCCAUUAAAUGUUAAAAAAUACUCAAAAACAGCUUAGAUUUUUUAAUGGUAUAUGUUUAAUAAGGAGCAUACAUUUAAAAUUUUAUAAUAUCAUGAAGAAAUCCAAAAAAAAAACAUUUUUAUGUAUUGUGUGUAGACUGUUAUUUGCCUUUUGACGGUUUUCCAUGAUUUUUCAAGUAUCUCUUCAACUUGAGAAAUUUUAUUUGCCAUUCAGCAUAUGUGAUAUGUUUUAGAUAGACCUUACAUGGUACUAGUAUACUGAAUAUCUAUCAACAUUUACACAUUGUAGUGCUAUAGUUUCUAGUCAUUUUAGUGUGUUUUAUACAUGUUUUAGUGUAGCAUUGAUUUCCGUCCAUUGUAAAUGUGUACCACCAAUGUAUGUUUGUGUCCAUUUUUAUGCCCCACCUACGAUAGUAGAGGGGCAUUAUGUUUUCUGGUCUGUGCGUCCGUCUGUUCGUUCGUUCGUCCGUUCGUUCGUCCGUC